UUGAAUUCUCUUCUCUUCUUUCAUCUUUAAUUCAAAACCCUAUAGUGAAGAUAGUACAUGUCCACACAUAUCAAGUCAAAGAUUGUGAAGAAUCCCAUCACCUAAUGGAGAUUGAGGUUUAGAUCUUAGCAAUACUGUGCAAUAGAAAGGAACGAGAGUUAGAGAUCUGAAUGGAAAGAGCCAUUAUAUUCAGCUGCAACCAAUAUGAACCCUGGUGAGUUUUGGGGAAGUGAAUAUCGUAUCGGCUAAGAUCUUCUUCAACUUCUGUAAGAGCAUCAUCCUCACAUCUGUGCUAGUCCGUCUUUAUCUAGCGAUAACCUCUCCAAUUCAAGUUUUGAUUAUUGGGAGAUGAGUAGCGAAUAUACACCUUCCCCAAAUUCUAAAGUGCAACACUAUUUUUACCGCGACAAAAUCAAAGGUCAAGGCUAUAGACGAUCAUCUAGGAGCUUAGGAUAGGGUGGAUGUGUUGGGAUUUUAUGUCCUAAAUAAAUCCCAUUUCAAUACAAUCUGAUUUGUUAUCAAUAGAAGAUUAUAAGUCAUUUAUGAUUA
This is a long non-coding RNA of Cannabis sativa, 549 nucleotides long. RefSeq lists it as uncharacterized. The transcript is spliced from 2 exons. NCBI's taxonomy places the organism in Eukaryota, Viridiplantae, Streptophyta, Magnoliopsida, Rosales, Cannabaceae. The record is from RefSeq and is a predicted model, not a curated record.